Molecule: ribosomal RNA, 253 nt
Filed under: uncultured bacterium
Lineage: Bacteria
Description: partial 16S ribosomal RNA
Rfam family: Bacterial small subunit ribosomal RNA
Source: RNAcentral
UACGGGGGGAGCAAGCGUUGUUCGGAUUUACUGGGCGUAAAGGGCGCGUAGGCGGCGUAACAAGUCACUUGUGAAAUCUCCGGGCUUAACUCGGAGCGGUCAAGUGAUACUGUUGUGCUAGAGUGCGGAAGGGGCUACUGGAAUUCUCGGUGUAGCGGUGAAAUGCGUAGAUAUCGAGAGGAACACCUGCGGCGAAGGCGGGUAGCUGGGCCGACACUGACGCUGAAGCGCGAAAGCCAGGGGAGCGAACGGG